This 235-nucleotide ribosomal RNA is filed under the name uncultured bacterium. RNAcentral's name for it is "partial 16S ribosomal RNA". It matches the Rfam family "Bacterial small subunit ribosomal RNA", at positions 28 to 258 of the family's 1533-position model. The record is from RNAcentral.
GACGAACGCUGGCGGCGUGCUUAACACAUGCAAGUCGAGCGGUAAGGCCCUUUCGGGGGUACGACGAGCGGCGAACGGGUAGGAGUAACACGUGGGUGGACCUGCCCUCCAGCUCUGGGAGUCAGCCUGGGAAACCGGGUCUAAUACUGGAUAUGACUCCAUGACGCAUGUUGUGGGGUGGAAAGCCUUGUGCGGCUGAGGAUGGGCCCGCGGCCUAUCAGCUUGUUGGUGGGGG